AGAGUUUGAUCCUGGCUCAGAACGAACGUUGGCGGCAUGGAUUAGGCAUGCAAGUCGAACGAAUGCCGGUGUAGCAAUACUCUGGCGGAAGUGGCGAAAGGGGCAGUAAUGUAUGGGUACCUACCCCGGGGUUGAGCAUAGCCGUUCUAACGGACGGGUAAUUCUCAGCGAUGUCGCAAGACCAAAGCUCCGGCGCCCUGGGAGGGGCCCAUAUCAGAUUAGCUAGUUGGUGGGGUAACGGCCUACCAAGGCGAAGAUCUGUAGCGGGUGUGAGAGCACGACCCGCGCCACUGGCACUGAGACACUGGCCAGACACCUACGGGUGGCUGCAGUCGAGGAUCUUCGUCAAUGGGCGAAAGCCUGAACGAGCGAUGCCGCGUGUGCGAUGAAGGCCUUCGGGUUGUAAAGCACGAAAGAGAUGAGAAAGGGAAACUUGAUCGAAUCUCAGUAAGCUCGGGCUAAGUUCGUGCCAGCAGCCGCGGUAAGACGAACCGAGCGAACGUUGUUCGGAAUCACUGGGCUUAAAGGGCGCGUAGGCGGGCGGUUUAGUCUGUUGUGAAAUCCUCCAGCUCAACUGGAGAACUGCAAUGGAUACUGGCUGUCCCGAGGAAGGUAGGGGCGUGUGGAACUAUCGGUGGAGCGGUGAAAUGCGUUGAUAUCGAUAGGAACUCCGGUGGCGAAGGCGACACGCUGGACCUUUUCUGACGCUGAGGCGCGAAAGCCAGGGGAGCAAACGGGAUUAGAUACCCCGGUAGUCCUGGCCCUAAACGAUGGGUACUAGCUAGUAGAGUUCACAUGGCUUUACUGGCGAAGCAAAAGUGCUAAGUACCCCGCCUGGGGAGUAUGGUCGCAAGGCUGAAACUCAAAGGAAUUGACGGGGGCUCACACAAGCGGUGGAGCAUGUGGCUUAAUUCGAGGCUACGCGAAGAACCUUAUCCUGGACUUGACAUGUGCGAUAGCGUUGAGCGGUAGGCCGGCGAAAGCAUGGCUGAUUCCCCGCAAGGGGAGGACUCAAUACAGGUGCUGCAUGGCUGUCGUCAGCUCGUGUCGUGAGAUGUCGGGUUAAGUCCCAUAACGAGCGGAACCCUUACCUUUAGUUACUACGGGUCAUGCCGAGGACUCUAAAGGGACUGCCGGUGUCAAACCGGAGGAAGGCGGGGAUGACGUCAAGUCCUCAUGGCCUUUACGUCCAGGGCUGCACACGUGCUACAAUGGCGUGAACAAAGGGAAGCCAAGGCGCGAGCCGGAGCAAAUCCCAAAAAAACACGCCCCAGUUCGGAUCGAAGGCUGCAACUCGCCUUCGUGAAGUUGGAAUCGCUAGUAAUCGCGGGUCAGCAACACCGCGGUGAAUGUGUUCCUGAGCCUUGUACACACCGCCCGUCAAGCCACGAAAGAGAGGAGUGCCCGAAGUCGCUUUAGCGCCGAAGGCAAAACUCUUGAUUGGGACUAAGUCGAAACAAGGUA
RNAcentral lists this ribosomal RNA (1464 nucleotides) under metagenome. RNAcentral's name for it is "bacterial SSU rRNA". It matches the Rfam family "Bacterial small subunit ribosomal RNA". The record is from RNAcentral.